This is a long non-coding RNA of Bufo bufo (common toad), 147 nucleotides long. RefSeq lists it as uncharacterized. Lineage: Eukaryota; Metazoa; Chordata; Amphibia; Anura; Bufonidae. The record is from RefSeq and is a predicted model, not a curated record. The transcript is spliced from 3 exons.
UGAUGAAUGGCAGGAAAAGUCUAAGGCAUAUUAGUAUGCCAUAGACUUUUUCCAGGGUGCGGGUGCCCACAGAGAGGGCUCCAAGUGCCGUCUCUGGCACCCGAGCCCUUUGUUUGCCACCACUCUUACACCAUCGUCAUCAUGCCA